This 254-nucleotide ribosomal RNA is filed under the name uncultured bacterium. RNAcentral describes it as "partial 16S ribosomal RNA". It matches the Rfam family "Bacterial small subunit ribosomal RNA", at positions 524 to 776 of the family's 1533-position model. The record is from RNAcentral.
UACGUAGGGUGCGAGCGUUGUCCGGAAUUAUUGGGCGUAAAGAGCUUGUAGGCGGUUUGUCGCGUCUGCCGUGAAAAUCCGAGGCUCAACCUCGGACUUGCGGUGGGUACGGGCAGACUAGAGUGUGGUAGGGGAGACUGGAAUUCCUGGUGUAGCGGUGAAAUGCGCAGAUAUCAGGAGGAACACCGAUGGCGAAGGCAGGUCUCUGGGCCACUACUGACGCUGAGAAGCGAAAGCAUGGGGGAGCGAACAGG